Molecule: long non-coding RNA, 2113 nt
Filed under: Bemisia tabaci
Lineage: Eukaryota; Metazoa; Arthropoda; Insecta; Hemiptera; Aleyrodidae
Description: lncRNA ENSSSA2NGG000363
Source: RNAcentral
AUGGAUCCUACGCUCUUUAAACUCCCUCAUAGUAAACAUAGUUGCAUAUGCAGAAGUAAAAUAACGGGCUUCGAAAUCCGACUUUUCCAGGAAUCGAAUAAUCAGUUACUCCAGGAGCCAUCGACUUCCGAGCAGCCCUCGACUUUGGAGCAGCCCUCGACUUUGGAGCAGCCUUUGACUUUGGAGCAGCCUUUGACUUUGGAGCAGUCUUUGACUUUGGAGCAGCCUUCGACUUUUGAGGGGCUUUUAAUGUUUUAGCACCUCCUGCUUGGUGACGGACUUGGCGAAGAAGUUGCUUCAAAAUGCCGCUUUUACUGCUGAAGUUCAUGUUUCCUUUCGCUGGAGCUUGAAACUGGGCAUGAAUUCGUAGCUAAGGUACCUUUUUACCAGUUUUCUUUUGAUCGCGUGACAAGCGGGAAGAUCGAAGACUUCAACUUCCUUAAUUAAUGUCUUUUCCACAAGGCUCCUGACACCAGAGACAGCCGAGAAUAACUUUUGGGAUUUGCUAAAAAGCUCCUCUAAUUUCCGGAACAUUGCGAAACAAUUUUCUUUUACCGAGACCUAAGAGCCUUCUGUACAUCCCCUUAAUUUUAGGCGUACAUUAAAGGGGCUUAAAAGUUCGCAGAAACAAUCAUAAAUAAUCUUUUCUUAGACCAAUCCUUAUACUUGAAACAAAAACAAACAAAAAAUAAUAUCAAUCAACUCACCACCCGGUACACAACCCUUCCCCAAUUUCAGUGAAGAAACACUCAAAGAAAGAGCUGGGGGUGGGUCAAUAUUUAAUCUGGAGCACAUGGAACGAAUUAAAUUUACGACAUUCCGGGCAAUUUUUAUUGCUUUGCCUUGCCAUACACGCAGGAGCGAACUUCCCAGCGUCGCGACCAAUCAUCGCAUCCCUCAGUUCAACGGCUGCAUGAUAUAUACAAUUGUGUAUACUUCUUGUAUGAAAGAAAACGGGAUCGCGGGCCCUUCUGAAAUAAAAAAUGCAUUUGUAAGUGUGGGGUAAUUUCAUGACAAUGAGUUGUAUAAAUCCAUUUUUUUAACUAAAAAAUGCAUUUGUAAGUAUGCGAUAAAUUUAUGUCGAUAAGUUGUACUAAGACUACUUCACAAUGUGUAAAUGCAUUUUCUUGGGGUUUUUUCUCUUCGUUUUCUUUGCCCCCGGCGAAAACAAAUAUUUUUAAUGUUUAUGUUGCAGAGUCAACAUUGAAAACCCUCUCUCGUAGGUGAAGUGGCGUUGGAAGCGUUUGCAGUACACUGAUGUUAAUUCAUUGCAGAAAAUAACGAAAAUAUAGUGGUUGUGGCACACUGUAGAACUUCUGCAUAAUAGAGCACGAUUAAUUGCCUCCAAAUAUGGUUUUUCCAGAGGACCCUGUACCUGUCGCUGACUUCAUCGGAAAUACUCCAGAUGAUGCAGCCGUUUUGAGGAGGAACGAACUCAGGCAGUGACUAACUUAGAAUUGUUCUGCAUUGGAAAAUAAAUUUUUGUUCAAUGCUCCUUAAAAAACUUGAGUGUUCAAAUUUAUUUUCACCACCACUUCUAAGAUCUUUAAGUUAGGAGUCAAUUAUACGAUUAAUGUGAAAUGAUCGUCUAUUGACAAGGAAGAAAAUAUUAAUUUGAUCAACAGUUGAAAAAAUAUAAUCAAUAAAAAACACACAGAAAAUGUGAAAAUGUGGAAUUAACAUAAUUAAUGAAUAUAAAGUUUUGAUAAUUAAGGCAACUAAAGGCCUGCACCGAAUAGCAGUUCAAGAACCUAAGCCUAUAAGACUUAAAGCUAAAGUACUAGUAGUACGUAUAAAGAAUGACGUAGAAGUAAGAAUAUUACUUACGUUACCGGAAAGUAUUUUAUCAUCGUUAAAUGUGUAAGAACGUAAAAAAUAGCUUAACUCCAUCGUUUUGUCUAUUAAGAAUAACAGCGACUUAAGAGGUAUUCACUGAAGCACAUUGGAUGCAAUGUUGAGCGGGGAGCUUGCACGACACUAGAUCACACACUCGAUCUAUUAACACCUAGCUAAACCAUAAAAUUACAAUUCACAAAGUUCUCAAAUACGAAUUACGAAAAUCGCGUAACCAGGGAAUUUACUGUAUAGCCAAAAUGGCGGCGCAACAACGUUC